GUGCCAGCCGCCGCGGUAAUACCGGCAGCUCAAGUGAUGUCCCAUAUUAUUGGGCCUAAAGCGUCCGUAGCUGGCCGACCAAGUCUCCCGGGAAAUCCACCCGCCCAACGGGUGGGCGUCCGGUAGAAACUGGCCGGCUUGGAACCGGAAGGCUCAGAGAGUACGUCCGGGGUAGGAGUGAAAUCCCAUAAUCCCGCACGGACCACCGAUGGCGAAAGCACUCUGAGAAGACGGCUUCGACAGUGAGGGACGAAAGCUCGGGUCUCAAACCGGAUUAGAAACCCCGUAUCC
This 291-nucleotide ribosomal RNA is filed under the name uncultured bacterium. RNAcentral's name for it is "partial 16S ribosomal RNA". It matches the Rfam family "Archaeal small subunit ribosomal RNA", at positions 455 to 747 of the family's 1478-position model. The record is from RNAcentral.